GUAUGGAAAAGCAAAUGUAGGCAUGAGUAACGAUAAUGCGGGAGAGUAACCCGCACACCGCAAGACCAAGGUUUCCUGAUCAACGCUAAUCGGAUCAGGGUUAGUCGGGUCCUAAGGGUAAGCCGAACGGUGAUCUCGAUGGAUAAUCGGUUAAUAUUCCGAUACUGACAUAUACCUCGAUGGAGAGACGAAGGAACGUAAGUGCCGCCACCUGACGGAAUAGGUGGUUAAAGGGCGUAGGUAUAGGGGCAGAUUAAGAGUUAGUCCUUGCUGAAACCUGACAGUACAGAGAGCCUACGGGCAAUUUGAUAGAGCACCCAAGUCGACUUCCGAGAAAAUCUUCUAAGUUAUAGUAUAUGUUACCCGUACCGUAAACCGACACAGGUGGUCGAGGAGAGUAUCCUAAGGUGCUCGAGUGAAUCACGGUUAAGGAACUAGGCAAAUUAACCCCGUAACUUCGGGAAAAGGGGUCCCAUCGCGAGGUGGGCGCAGCGAAGAGGUCCAGGCGACUGUUUAUCAAAAACACAGGGCUCUGCAAAUUCGAAAGAAGACGUAUAGGGCCUGACACCUGCCCGGUGCUGGAAGGUUAAGAGGGGAUGUCAUCGCAAGAGAAGCAUUGAAUCGAAGCCCCAGUAAACGGCGGCCGUAACUAUAACGGUCCUAAGGUAGCGAAAUUCCUUGUCGGGUAAGUUCCGACCUGCACGAAUGGUGUAACGAUCUGGACACUGUCUCAACCGUGAGCUCGGUGAAAUUGUAGUCCCGGUGAUGAUGCCGGGUACCCGCAACGGGACGAAAAGACCCCGUGAACCUUUACUAUAGCUUAACGCUGAAUUUGGGUACACAAUGUGUAGGAUAGGCCGGAGGCUUUGAAGCGGGCACGCCAGUGUUCGUGGAGCCGACGUUGAAAUACGGCCCUUUGUGUAUUUGAGUUCUAACCCUGCGAAGGGGACACCGUUUGGUGGGUAGUUUGACUGGGGUGGUCGCCUCCAAAAGCGUAACGGAGGCUUCCCAAGGUACCCUCAGCACGAAUGGUAACCGUGCGCGGAGUGCAAUAGCAUAAGGGUGCUUGACUGUGAGACAUACAAGUCGACCAGGUACGAAAGUAGGGUAUAGUGAUCCGGUGGUUCUGCGUGGACUGGCCAUCGCUCAAAGGAUAAAAGGUACUCCGGGGAUAACAGGCUGAUCGCCGCCAAGAGCUCAUAUCGACGCGGCGGUUUGGCACCUCGAUGUCGGCUCGUCACAUCCUGGGGCUGGAGAAGGUCCCA
This 1265-nucleotide ribosomal RNA is filed under the name human gut metagenome. RNAcentral describes it as "bacterial LSU rRNA". It matches the Rfam family "Bacterial large subunit ribosomal RNA", at positions 1280 to 2567 of the family's 2925-position model. The record is from RNAcentral.